GCAUAUGGACAAAUAAUAUAUAUGUGUGUGCGUAACAUAGCUAGGUAGAUAGAUAGAUAGAAUUGAAUGGUGACCUCAGUUCAGUUUGCAGCGCCAGAUUUUGGCUUAUUUCUCAUAGUCAUAGCUAGCUAGCUAGCCUCUUUUGACAUCAUGCAGAUGCAGCAGCAACAAGAAUCGCCGUUCAUCAUCAAGCUAUAGAGAUCCAGAGCUU
RNAcentral lists this long non-coding RNA (211 nucleotides) under Oryza brachyantha (malo sina). Its description in RNAcentral is "long non-coding RNA (OBRA_LNC003667)". The record is from RNAcentral. Lineage: Eukaryota; Viridiplantae; Streptophyta; Magnoliopsida; Poales; Poaceae.